This 616-nucleotide ribosomal RNA is filed under the name uncultured bacterium. RNAcentral's name for it is "bacterial SSU rRNA". It matches the Rfam family "Bacterial small subunit ribosomal RNA", at positions 338 to 942 of the family's 1533-position model. The record is from RNAcentral.
CCUACGGGAGGCAGCAGUAGGGAAUCUUCCGCAAUGGACGAAAGUCUGACGGAGCAACGCCGCGUGAACGAUGAAGGCCUUCGGGUCGUAAAGUUCUGUUGUUAGGGAAGAACAAGUGCUAGUUAAAUAAGCUGGCACCUUGACGGUACCUAACCAGAAAGCCACGGCUAACUACGUGCCAGCAGCCGCGGUAAUACGUAGGUGGCAAGCGUUGUCCGGAAUUAUUGGGCGUAAAGCGCGCGCAGGCGGUUUCUUAAGUCUGAUGUGAAAGCCCCCGGCUCAACCGGGGAGGGUCAUUGGAAACUGGGAAACUUGAGUGCAGAAGAGGAAAGUGGAAUUCCAAGUGUAGCGGUGAAAUGCGUAGAGAUUUGGAGGAACACCAGUGGCGAAGGCGACUUUCUGGUCUGUAACUGACGCUGAGGCGCGAAAGCGUGGGGAGCAAACAGGAUUAGAUACCCUGGUAGUCCACGCUGUAAACGAUGAGUGCUAAGUGUUAGAGGGUUUCCGCCCUUUAGUGCUGAAGUUAACGCAUUAAGCACUCCGCCUGGGGAUACGGUCGCAAGACUGAAAACUCAAAAGGAAUUGACGGNUGAGACGNGCGAGAGACAGAGGAGAG